AUUGAACGCUGGCGGCAUGCUUUACACAUGCAAGUCGAACGGUAACAGGCCUUCGGGUGCUGACGAGUGGCGAACGGGUGAGUAAUGCAUCGGAACGUACCCAGAGGUGGGGGAUAACGCAGCGAAAGCUGUGCUAAUACCGCAUGUGAUCUGAGGAUGAAGGCGGGGGACCGAGCAGCAAUGUUUGGCCUCGCGCCUUUGGAGCGGCCGAUGUCGGAUUAGCUAGUUGGUGGGGUAAAGGCCUACCAAGGCGACGAUCCGUAGCUGGUCUGAGAGGACGACCAGCCACACUGGGACUGAGACACGGCCCAGACUCCUACGGGAGGCAGCAGUGGGGAACUUUGGACAAUGGGCGCAAGCCUGAUCCAGCAAUGCUGCGUGCGGGAAGAAGGCCUUCGGGUUGUAAACCGCUUUUGGCAGGAACGAAACGGUGUCCGCUAAUACCGGGCGCUAAUGACGGUACCUGCAGAAUAAGCACCGGCUAACUACGUG
Molecule: ribosomal RNA, 492 nt
Filed under: uncultured bacterium
Lineage: Bacteria
Description: partial 16S ribosomal RNA
Rfam family: Bacterial small subunit ribosomal RNA
Source: RNAcentral